CAUGGUUCGAAAUUGAAAGGGGGGCUUCGGCUGUCACUUAUGGAUGGACCCGCGUCGCAUUAGCUAGUUGGUGAGGUAACGGCUCACCAAGGCAACGAUGCGUAGCCGACCUGAGAGGGUGAUCGGCCACACUGGGACUGAGACACGGCCCAGACUCCUACGGGAGGCAGCAGUAGGGAAUCUUCCGCAAUGGACGAAAGUCUGACGGAGCAACGCCGCGUGAGUGAUGAAGGCUUUCGGGUCGUAAAACUCUGUUGUUAGGGAAGAACAAGUGCUAGUUGAAUAAGCUGGCACCUUGACGGUACCUAACCAGAAAGCCACGGCUAACUACGUGCCAGCAGCCGCGGUAAUACGUAGGUGGCAAGCGUUAUCCGGAAUUAUUGGGCGUAAAGCGCGCGCAGGUGGUUUCUUAAGUCUGAUGUGAAAGCCCACGGCUCAACCGUGGAGGGUCAUUGGAAACUGGGAGACUUGAGUGCAGAAGAGGAAAGUGGAAUUCCAUGUGUAGCGGUGAAAUGCGUAGAGAUAUGGAGGAACACCAGUGGCGAAGGCGACUUUCUGGUCUGUAACUGACACUGAG
This 577-nucleotide ribosomal RNA is filed under the name Bacillus sp. SY-26. Its description in RNAcentral is "bacterial SSU rRNA". It matches the Rfam family "Bacterial small subunit ribosomal RNA", at positions 188 to 750 of the family's 1533-position model. The record is from RNAcentral. Lineage: Bacteria; Bacillati; Bacillota; Bacilli; Caryophanales; Bacillaceae.